UUGAACGCUGGCGGCAUGCUUUACCCAUGCAAGUCGAACGGUAACAGACCGCAAGGUGCUGACGAGUGGCGAACGGGUGAGUAAUGCAUCGGAACGUGCCCAGUCGUGGGGGAUAACUACUCGAAAGAGUAGCUAAUACCGCAUACGAUCUAUGGAUGAAAGCGGGGGACCGUAAGGCCUCGCGCGAUUGGAGCGGCCGAUGUCAGAUUAGGUAGUUGGUGGGGUAAAGGCUCACCAAGCCAACGAUCUGUAGCUGGUCUGAGAGGACGACCAGCCACACUGGGACUGAGACACGGCCCAGACUCCUACGGGAGGCAGCAGUGGGGAAUUUUGGACAAUGGGCGCAAGCCUGAUCCAGCAAUGCCGCGUGCAGGAAGAAGGCCUUCGGGUUGUAAACUGCUUUUGUACGGAACGAAACGGCUCUGGUUAAUACCCGGGGCUAAUGACGGUACCGUAAGAAUAAGCACCGGCUAACUACGUG
Molecule: ribosomal RNA, 481 nt
Filed under: uncultured bacterium
Lineage: Bacteria
Description: partial 16S ribosomal RNA
Rfam family: Bacterial small subunit ribosomal RNA
Source: RNAcentral